RNAcentral lists this ribosomal RNA (122 nucleotides) under Saimiri boliviensis boliviensis (Bolivian squirrel monkey). The record is from RNAcentral. Lineage: Eukaryota; Metazoa; Chordata; Mammalia; Primates; Cebidae.
GUUAUACCCAUGCAACCCUGAUCAUGCCCAAUCUCAUCUGACCUCAGCAGCUAAACAGGGUCAGGCCUGGUUAGUACUCGGAUGUGAGGCAGGAAUGGAACAGAACCUGGCUGCUCAGAACC